Molecule: ribosomal RNA, 610 nt
Filed under: uncultured bacterium
Lineage: Bacteria
Description: bacterial SSU rRNA
Rfam family: Bacterial small subunit ribosomal RNA
Source: RNAcentral
UAAAGAUUCAUCGCUGAUAGAUAGGCAUGCGUUCCAUUAGGCAGUUGGCGGGGUAACGGCCCACCAAACCGACGAUGGAUAGGGGUUCUGAGAGGAAGGUCCCCCACAUUGGUACUGAGACACGGACCAAACUCCUACGGGAGGCAGCAGUGAGGAAUAUUGGUCAAUGGGCGUAAGCCUGAACCAGCCAAGUCGCGUGAGGGAUGAAGGUUCUAUGGAUCGUAAACCUCUUUUAUAAGGGAAUAAAGUGUGGGACGUGUCCUAUUUUGUAUGUACCUUAUGAAUAAGGAUCGGCUAACUCCGUGCCAGCAGCCGCGGUAAUACGGAGGAUCCGAGCGUUAUCCGGAUUUAUUGGGUUUAAAGGGUGCGUAGGCGGCCUUUUAAGUCAGCGGUGAAAGUCUGUGGCUCAACCAUAGAAUUGCCGUUGAAACUGGGGGGCUUGAGUAUGUUUGAGGCAGGCGGAAUGCGUGGUGUAGCGGUGAAAUGCUUAGAUAUCACGCAGAACCCCGAUUGCGAAGGCAGCCUGCCAGGCCAUGACUGACGCUGAUGCACGAAAGCGUGGGGAUCAAACAGGAUUAGAUACCCUGGUAGUCCACGCAGUAAACGAUGA